Molecule: transfer RNA, 24 nt
Filed under: Luffa aegyptiaca (smooth loofah)
Lineage: Eukaryota; Viridiplantae; Streptophyta; Magnoliopsida; Cucurbitales; Cucurbitaceae
Also listed under: 14 other names
Description: partial tRNA-His
Source: RNAcentral
CGGAUGUAGCCAAGUGGAUCAAGG